Molecule: long non-coding RNA, 830 nt
Filed under: Nicotiana tabacum (common tobacco)
Lineage: Eukaryota; Viridiplantae; Streptophyta; Magnoliopsida; Solanales; Solanaceae
Description: long non-coding RNA (NTAB_LNC012043)
Source: RNAcentral
UAAGUCUCUUUUCAAAUUUUCUUCAAAUAGUCAUCUCAGUUUUUCUUUUUUUAUUUUUUAUUCCUAAUUCUCGAAGUCACUUCGCUUCGUUUCUUUUGAGUCUAUUUUUCUAAGUCUCUGUCAAAUUAGUUUUUUAUGAAGCAAGCAAGAAAGGACUCCAAAGCUCAUUACCGGCUUUUUAUUUGCACCAAGCGAAAUUUGGCCAGGCACAUUCCAAGUGACAUGGUUUAAAAUGAGCAAUGCGAUGGUAAGUGAAGUUCAGGUGGUCAAGUGAUUCGUGAAUUUGUAGGAAAUGCAAAGGUUCCACAGUUGUCAGAAUGAAAGUGUCAUACGACGAGUUGAGUGUAAGUGAUUCAAGUUAUUCAGAGGUUUUGUGUUCGAGGUCCGAUUGAAAGGUCAAGCAAUUCUUCGUAGCCCGAAGCAGCUAAUCAGAAUGAAGCAGGAUAGUGGCAGAAGCAGACACCUUCAGCAGGGAUGCCACAAACUAACCGCCACAGUUUCAAACUGACAAAAUUUUCUUUGUUUUAAGCAGGGGAAAGAAAUCUUGUUUGCUUUGCUAGGAAUCCCCCAUGAGGAAGGUAUGCUCCAGAUAAGUUCAGUCUUAAGUUUUCAAGGCCCUCCUGGAUAAUGGGAUCUAAUUUUAUGUUUCAGGACCCUCCUGGAUAAUGGGAUGCAACUAACAAUCAAUGAAUGUCCCUGGUACAAACUGGGGCAGAAAAGUUUCUCUGUUUUGUCUGUGUUGUCAUGAUUGCAGGCGCCCACCUGGAGAACGAGGGAAUUUAUUUAAAGUUCUAAGUCAUCAGGCGCCCACCUGGAGAAUGAGGGAAUUC